This 24-nucleotide non-coding RNA is filed under the name Arabidopsis thaliana (thale cress). The record is from RNAcentral. Lineage: Eukaryota; Viridiplantae; Streptophyta; Magnoliopsida; Brassicales; Brassicaceae.
UCUUAUCUUUGUCAUCUUCUGCCC